Paramisgurnus dabryanus is the source of this 822-nucleotide non-coding RNA. The record is from RefSeq and is a predicted model, not a curated record. Lineage: Eukaryota; Metazoa; Chordata; Actinopteri; Cypriniformes; Cobitidae.
AUGUGGCCGAGUGGUUAGAGAGACUUGUUUGUAACACGGAGAUCGGGAGUUCGAAUCCCACAGCCGGCAGGAAAUGUCUGAAAGGUCUCGGUGCGGUGGAUGGGUGAAGUGCAGAGGCAAUCAUGUCUUUUCGAUUUUUUCAUGUCUCUUUUCCUUACAUGGCGGUCCUACGGUUGUCAACAUUUUUAGACGUGCAGAACACGUCGAAAAAAAGACGUCACCUGGCGUUACAAAACAACCCCUUUUAUGGACUGGAUUCGGACGUCCAAAAAUUACAUGAAAAAGACGUAAUUCCGACGUCACUUUGCGCAGUGGGAUACCUCACCAAAAUUACAACCAAUGUUUGGCUCAAAACUUGCCUAAUGGAAGUGUUUUUCCCUUUUAUUAUUUCUCUUUUUGUAUAGGCCCAUCAGAGUGAUCUCCUGAGUUCUCUCACACAUGGUCAGCAAAUGGAUUAUCCAGUCACAGUACAUAAUGAAAGACUUGCCGAAGUUAGAAGAAGCUGAGUGAAUCUUCAGAGUGAUUCUUCAGAGAGAAGAUGUAAUGAUGGCUCACAAGAACCAAUGAAAUCUGGGAGACCUCAGAGUAUGUCCUUGCUGUGACUGUACAAAAACAGCUAAGUUAUGCCCGUGAACGGAUUGGUGUUUUAAAGAGCCUGCGUUCAACAGUGUCUCUGUUUAAUGUGAAGAAAAUCCAUCGCAUUUGCACCAGAGGAGGAGCUUCAGUUACUGAAUAGUCCUAAACAAUGAACUGUGGUAAUGUUUCAAUUUCUAAAUGUUUCAAGAAGUACAGUUGUGUUUGUCUUUGAGUUUUGUAUGGUAC